UCCCGUUUAGCUCAGUCGGUAGAGCACGCCCCUUUUAAGGGCGGAGUCGUCAGUUCGAGUCUGAUAACGGGAA
RNAcentral lists this transfer RNA (73 nucleotides) under Caudoviricetes sp. RNAcentral's name for it is "tRNA-Lys". It matches the Rfam family "tRNA". Rfam says of the family: Transfer RNA (tRNA) molecules are approximately 80 nucleotides in length. Lineage: Duplodnaviria; Heunggongvirae; Uroviricota; Caudoviricetes. The record is from RNAcentral.